Molecule: non-coding RNA, 490 nt
Organism: Glossina austeni
Lineage: Eukaryota; Metazoa; Arthropoda; Insecta; Diptera; Glossinidae
Source: Rfam
AUAUAUGCACAUGUAUAAAUAUAUAUUUAUAUAUGUAAAAUUUACGAGCCCCGAAAAUAAGCGUGUAAGAGAGAUUGGUAACUCUUUCUUGAAUCAAUGGAUGGUAGUGCAUGACGCUUCUUAAUUCGUUGGAGCGAUUUGUCUGAUUAAUUUCGAUAACGAACGAGACCCAAAUAUAUUCAAUAGAUGCUUUCAAGAGCAUCUGAAUUGAAUCUUUUAUGGCCUUAACUUACGAGCGAAGUAAAAUGUGUGAGGUUGAUUUGGGCAAAUUGCAUCUAGCAAUAACGACAUUGAGCAAUAACAGCUCUGUGAUGCCAUUAGAUGUCCUGGACUGCACGUGCGCUACAACGAAAGUCCCAUCGUGUAUUUCCUAGACCGAGUGGCCCGCUUAAAAACCUGAGCCACUUUCGUGCUUGGGAUUGUGAACUGAAGUUGUUUACAUGAAUUUGGAAUUUCCAGCAAGCAUUAGUCUUCAACUCCCAUUGGUUAC